RNAcentral lists this ribosomal RNA (574 nucleotides) under Pisolithus albus. RNAcentral describes it as "eukaryotic LSU rRNA". The stretch from base 177 to 331 matches the Rfam family "5.8S ribosomal RNA". The record is from RNAcentral. Lineage: Eukaryota; Fungi; Basidiomycota; Agaricomycetes; Boletales; Pisolithaceae.
AGGGCUCUUUAUCGACUCUAGAAGGGUGGGGGGGGGGACUUUCUGGUCCUUCAAGCCCUUUUACUUUGUCCCACCUCUGUGCACCCUGUUCGCGUGAGGUUCCUUCGGAACCUGCGUGAUACUAUCUCGAACUCGUAUGUCUACAGAAUGUAACCUAGCGUUGGAAAAGAAAAUACAACUUUCAGCAACGGAUCUCUUGGCUCUCGCAUCGAUGAAGGACGCAGCGAAUCGCGAUAAGUAAUGUGAAUUGCAGAUUUUCCGUGAAUCAUCGAAUCUUUGAACGCACCUUGCGCUCCUUGGUAUUCCGAGGAGCAUGCCUGUUUGAGUGUCAUCGAAAAUCUCAAGCCAAGCUGUUUUGACAUUGGUCGAAAAAGCCUGGAUUUUGGAAUGGGGGAAGGCCGGCAGUGUUCCCAACCUGGGAAUGGCCGCUCCCCCGAAAAGGCUUAAUGGGAAGGGGCUUGGCACCCGCCCCCUCCAACUCCUAACCCCAACCGCCGGGAACUGGGAACCUUCCCCCCCCGACACUGCGAUAGGGGAAAGCGCGUCCCCUCAUCUCGUGGGAGUACCCGCGGAA